Long non-coding RNA from Camelus dromedarius (Arabian camel), 2927 nucleotides. RefSeq lists it as uncharacterized. Lineage: Eukaryota; Metazoa; Chordata; Mammalia; Artiodactyla; Camelidae. The transcript is spliced from 4 exons. The record is from RefSeq and is a predicted model, not a curated record.
GAGCAUCAACAGGACGGCUCCUUAGAAGACAAGCUUCCUUCUUGACCUUGUCAGGGGUCGCAUGACCACCUGGAUUCUGUGAACUGGCAAUAAUACGUCAUUUGAAGCACAGCCCUCUGCCUCUAAAACCCUACGUAGCUGCACCUGGACUUCUAAGCCCGGAACAGUCCUCAGAGAGUUCUGAGAUGCUCUUCCUGGGUUACAAUCCUCAAAUUUGGCUUGAAUGAGAUUUUCUGUUUCUUGCUUAGAUCGACUGAUUAAUUUCUCAAUGGCGUACCCCACGUCGCAACCAGGUCAGCGAGGUGUGAGGAGGGGAGCCCUGCGGCCUUUCCCAGGGACGCUCCUGGAGACACGGACUGCGCCGCUCCCCUAAGCCAGCGCCGGAUAAAGGGCGCGGCAGCUGGCCUCUGCAAAAAGCUGCGUCGACAGUCGUGACCACACGGGAGGGACCCAGCAGGAUGGGACUUCUGGUCCCGCCCUCGGGCAGGAGAACCCCCAGGUCUCUGAGAACUGCUUGGCCCCCUGUCCAGCUGCAUCAGAACCUUCCGGAUGCUGCCGCAGCUCCGUCCUCCUCUGCUGCCCGCUUCCGUCCAGUCCUGCCCUGCGGGGGACCCGGUGUGGCCCACCUACCCUGGGGCAUCACAUCCGUCCGAGAAGCCCACCUGUGUCCUGACCUCGCUGACGGCUGUGCUGGCCAAGGAGGGGACACCUGUGCUCGCCAUCCCAUGGUAGAAUUCUUGCAACGCGAGAGACAUGGCCACCCAGCAGAGCAGAGAGAGAAUGGUGGUGACAGAAGCCCUUUGCUCCUCCCCAAACAGGCAGGUGGUGUCAGGAGGGGAUUCCUAAAAAUGAGGUGGGAAUUGCAGCCCAGCCAGAGGGUCCCAGGGCAUGUGCGCUCCCGACAGCACUGGCCCCAGCAGCAUACACCGUCCACAACGCCUUCUCGGGUCCUGAGCCCCACCGGUCCCUGCAGGUGCACGGGCUCUGGGGAAGCGUCUGGGGCCAUGUCAGGAAGCAGCUCUGACCCCCAAACAGAUGUGAAGCUUCUGCUGGAAACCACCUGGGAACUCAGAGAACUGCCACCUUCCACAGCCCGGGAGGUGCCCGGGCCAAGCUGCCUCUUCCCGCAACAAGCAUCUUUGGGUUAAAGUCAAUUCACCUCCUUGCCUCAGCCCCCUCAGCCCUUGGGAAGGAAACAAUAAUAUUGAUCCAGCAGAUAACCGUGGGACCCCCCCCAUGCACCAUGGGACAGGCCGUCCUCCCAGCGGGAAGGGUCCAGGAGUGGGAGGCCGCGAGGCUGAGUGGUGGGGCUGGGCCCCGACUGUGUCCAGUGGGCCGUGAGGCUGGAGAACACAGAUGUGAGGAAGCUGUGAAGGAUGAGCCAGAGAAGCAGGGCUCUGAGGGGCAGAGGAAAAUGUGCCAGAACAGGAACAGGUGGGCGAAGCCUUCCAGGCAAGCAGAGCCCGAGGGGAGUGGAGGUGACUUGUGAAUCCCCCGUCGUCUCCCCUUCCGGGGCCAAAGAAGAGACACAGGGGAGCAUCAGACAGUAAGUGUGCAUGCUGGCUGGGGACAUGGUGGUGAGCGACGCCAGCGGUGGCCGGAACAGGUGUCCUUGCUGUGUGCCGGACGCAAGCCAGGUAAGCAGGCCUCGUCACCCCGUGUCACAGACGAGGGGACUGAGGCUGGCGUGGUUGGCUGGUUAGCCCGAAGCCACACAGCUGAGGUGGAGAAGCCAGGACCUGCCCGAAGCCCUCUGGUUGCACCGCUGUCGCUGCCUCCACAGGUCCGACGGACGCUUCGGGCUGUGACCGAGCCGUGCCCUGGCCAGGAAUGAAGACCCCGGUGGCCCGUGGGGUUUGGAGCGGUGUGGGCGCUGGUGCCCUGGGGGUCGCGUGGAGGAAGGACCGGGAGAAGAAGUGUUUAACCAUAUUCGUGCCGGCGGUGUGGUCUGAGCUGGGUCUCAACGGCAGGCAGACGAGGUAAAUGACGGGGUGCGAGUGUCCCCGGGCGAGAGAGGGGGACGUGUGUGGAGGGCUCGGGACAGGCCCAGGGUCCCCGAGGUGCAGCAGAGCCAGAUGGACAGCAGGAGAGGGGUGGCGUGUCCACCUGGUGGCCACAGAGGACAUGGAGCGUGGCAACGCCAGGAGGGAAGGUGUCCUGGAGGGGUGGCCACCAAGGCCUGGAGAAGCCACCCCCUGCUUCUCCAGGGAGACCUGCUGGUCAGUGACCUGUUAGGUCACCAAUGAAACACAGAGCUGGAAAAUUCAGUAAAGAAAAUUCUCCACAAAGUUUGGUUUUUAUCAAAAUGCAGUCCGGCACGCAGUGGACUAACCAGGUUCAGGGAUUUAGGCAAAGCCAGAGUGUCGUGAGCCCCUGGCUCAGUGUCCCCUCUUCAGCUGCACAGUCCUGUCCAGCCUGAGCGACGUGUCUCAUCCCGCGUCCCUGUACCCUGGGCUCACUCACCCAAUGCGCCUUCGUUCUUCUGGGGGGGAUUUGCUGGGCACCUGGGAUCUGUAUUUAAGGACAGUCCUGGCCGCUGUCCAGCACCCGCCCCCAGCUAGGAGCAGGAGGUUUGCAACGCCUCCUGCCAAACGCCUCAGGUAAGAGCGGGGACGAGGAGGAAACGCUCAGGACGCAGUGGGCACGGGAGAGGGGGCCCCAGGGUGCAGGGACCCACCGCCUCUCCCUGCACACCUCUGUCUUGGCUGCCUGCACAGCUCUGCCUGCUGUGUCUGGGGGAGCAGGACCACCGAGGCCCAUCACAGUGCACGUCCCCUUCUCAGACCCCACGAGAAACUGUGGGGACAUGUCUCUGGCCCUGUGCUGGAGAGGGUCCCACCUGGUCUCCUGAGCCCCGUCCGGUGUCAGGGAGACCCUCACUUGGCACAAUGGUGACCAGAAGCCAAAUGGCCUUGUUAUCUCGCAGU